CUAUCCUGCAGGUUAAACGAAUCGCCUUAGAGUUUGAUCAUGGCUCAGGACGAACGCUGGCGGCGUGCCUAAUACAUGCAAGUCGAACGAGAAUUGCUUACACCGAGUGCUUGCACUCACCGUAAGAAAUUCGAGUGGCGGACGGGUGAGUAACACGUGGGUAACCUGCCUAUCAGAGGGGGAUAACACUUGGAAACAGGUGCUAAUACCGCAUAACAUUGAAAAGCGCAUGCUUUUCAAUUAAAAGGCGCUUCUGGUGUCACUGGUAGAUGGACCCGCGGCGUAUUAGCUAGUUGGUGGGGUAACGGCCUACCAAGGCAAUGAUACGUAGCCGAGUUGAGAGACUGAUCGGCCACAAUGGGACUGAGACACGGCCCAUACUCCUACGGGAGGCAGCAGUAGGGAAUCUUCCACAAUGGGCGCAAGCCUGAUGGAGCAACGCCGCGUGCGUGAAGAAGGUCUUCGGAUCGUAAAGCGCUGUUGUUAGAGAAGAACACGGAUAAGAGUAACUGUUUAUGCGUUGACGGUAUCUAACCAGAAAGUCACGGCUAACUACGUGCCAGCAGCCGCGGUAAUACGUAGGUGGCAAGCGUUGUCCGGAUUUAUUGGGCGUAAAGGGAACGCAGGCUGUUUUUUAAGUCCGAUGUGAAAGCCUUCGGCUUAACCGAAGAAGUGCAUUGGAAACUGGGAGACUUGAGUGCAGAAGAGGAGAGUGGAACUCCAUGUGUAGCGGUGAAAUGCGUAGAUAUAUGGAAGAACACCAGUGGCGAAAGCGGCUCUCUGGUCUGUAACUGACGCUGAGGUUCGAAAGCAUGGGUAGCGAACAGGAUUAGAUACCCUGGUAGUCC
Molecule: ribosomal RNA, 848 nt
Filed under: uncultured bacterium
Lineage: Bacteria
Description: bacterial SSU rRNA
Rfam family: Bacterial small subunit ribosomal RNA
Source: RNAcentral